AAUCUAGCUGGAUCCAUUCAUCCGAGAUGAUUGCGCUCGCCUGCGCUGCUUGAAAAGCACAUAUGUAGGCGGGGAUGUUCAUGGUGACAGGAGGAACCACAUGUUAACUUGUAUUCCUGACCCUGGUUACGGAUGUGAGCUGUCCAGGCCUUUUUAUUUAUACACGUGUGAAUUCUAACAGUGUGUUUUAGUGAUUGUGAAAUAUUCUAAAGUGUUUUAGAGAUUGCUGUGGUUAGAGCAUUGUGUGGGGGUUGCGGUGUUGCCUGGCGCUCUGCUUACUUCAUGGGGCAGGGACACUGAACUGUGGAAUUCUAAUAAUAAAUGCUUAUUUCC
Paramormyrops kingsleyae is the source of this 333-nucleotide non-coding RNA. Lineage: Eukaryota; Metazoa; Chordata; Actinopteri; Osteoglossiformes; Mormyridae. The record is from RefSeq and is a predicted model, not a curated record.